Molecule: non-coding RNA, 72 nt
Organism: Phrynosoma platyrhinos (Desert horned lizard)
Lineage: Eukaryota; Metazoa; Chordata; Lepidosauria; Squamata; Phrynosomatidae
Source: the annotation of a GenBank genome assembly
GCCAGUGUGGUGUAGUGGCUUGAGCAUUGGACUAUGACUCUGGAGACCAGGGUUCGAAUCCCAGCUCAGCUA